GAGUAGACUGGAGGAGGAGGUGACUUGUAGUAAUAUGGUGGUGGAGGAGAGUAGACGGGUGGAGGAGGUGACUUGUAGUAGUAUGGUGGGGGAGGAGAGUAGACGGGUGGAGGUGGUGACUUGUAGUAGUAUGGUGGUGGUGGAGAGUAUACUGGAGGUGGUGGUGAUUUGUAGUAGUAUGGUGGAGGUGGAGAGUAUACUGGAGGUGGUGGUGACUUGUAGUAGUAUGGUGGAGGUGGAGAGUAUACUGGAGGAGGUGGUGAUUUGUAGUAGUAUGGUGGGGGAGGAGAGUACACUGGAGGUGGUGGUGAUUUGUAGUAGUAUGGUGGAGGUGGAGAGUAUACUGGAGGAGGUGGUGACUUGUAGUAGUAUGGUGGAGGAGGGGAAUAUACUGGAGGCGGUGGUGACUUGUAAUAGUACACAGGUGAAGGUGGGGGAGGUGACUUGUAGAUAGGUGAUGGAGGAGGUGGAGACUUGUAGUAGUAAGUUGGUGAUGGAGGAGGUGGGGACUUGUAGUAGUAAGUCGGGGACGGGGGAGGUGGCGACUUGUAGUAGUAAACAGGGGUAGGUGGAGGUGGGGACUUGUAGACGUAGGGAGGUGGGUAGUAAGGCUUAGGCUUCAUGCACUCCUUGUAAGGCUUCUUUGGAGCAUAUGCAAAAGGCUUAGCGUACAACACAACCUCAUACUUAGUCUUAGACUUGACCCUUAGCUUGGCGCCAACUUUGCCCCAGUGGAGGUUGGUUGGGAUGUUGCACAUUGAACCCUUGGGUGGUGCGUGGAGCUUAGCCUUGCAAGCCUUGCCUCCAUAUUUAGCAUAGUCAAAUCCUUUCACUUCAAUGCUAUAUUUACCAUUACUCUUUGUCUUUCCAUAUGCAACUACCUCUUUCUUUCCUGCCUUGCAACUCACUUCAACAACAGCUCCUACACAAAAUAAAAUUAAAAAAAAAAAGUUUAGAAAUUAGAAAAAUUAUACAAUUCAAGGUGAAUCCAUGGACACAUACAAAUUGAAUUAAAUUGUUAUUGAAUAAUGUAACAGACAGAAACAAUUUAAAAUACAACAAAAGUUUUUUGUAUCCAACAAGAAAAGGACAUCAUUUUAGCUUUUUACUGUAGGAUGCAAUUAUUCUAAUCUAGAAACUCUUGGCAUUCCUACUUUAAUAAAUUAACUUGUUUAGAUUCCAAAAAAAUUAAAAUAUUUAUUUGAAAUCACCAUUAUGAUCAGUUUUGAUGUGUAAUAAUUGAUGCAAUGAUAGCAUCCACAUGGACAACGGUGGUAUGCUUUUAUUCUAUUAUGGUGGGAGGGCAAAUUAGUAAAUAUGACUUCUUAAAUAUAUAUAUAUAUAAAUACAUUAUCCAAUUAAAGCCGGAAGAAAAGAAUCAUAUGGAAAAUGCUGUGUUUUUAGUAUUGUAAUCGAAUUAAGUCAUUUUCAAUUGCGAAAAGUAGUGCAUGGAUAGAAUUAUUAUCUAUUUUUGACUUGGUUUUUCAGGUACCCAUAUUUAGAAAAUCACAAUCCUAAUCAUGAAACUGACAUUAAAAUUAAAAAGACAGAGACAAAAAUUCUAAAUUAAAAGUUAAAAUUUGGGUUUGGAAGAAAAUAAUCAGAAUUUGAAUUUGAUGAAUAGUCAAUUUUAGAGGGAAAAUUUUUAUAUUGAAAAAUUACCUUUAAGGUGCUUCUUGUCGUGUGAUUUUUCAGGGUAGGCCCAAUCAUAGCAUCGGAUGCAGUAGACUUUUCCGACCACCUUAAAAACUAGGUGAUGGUGGUGUGGCGGGUAGUACGGUGGAGUGUAGGGCUUUGGAGGUGGAGAGUAGUAAACCGGUGGUGGUGGUGAUUUGUAGUAAGGUGGAGAGUAGGGAGGUGAGUAUGUUGGCGGUGGUGGAGAUUUGUAGUAAUAAACUGGUGGGGGUGAGUAAGUUGGUGGUGGUGGAGAUUUGUAGUAAUAGACUGGUGGGGGUGAGUAAGUUGGUGGUGGUGGUGAUUUGUAGUAGUAUGGUGGAGGAGGAGAUGGUGAUGGUGGGGGAGGGGACUUGUAGUAAUAUGGUGGAGGAGGUGAUGGAGAUGGGGGUGGUGGAGAUUUGUAGUAAUAUGGUGGAGGAGGAGAUGGCGAUGGUGGUGGAGGAGACUUGUAGUAAUAUGGUGGUGGUGGGGAUGGAGAAGGUGGUGGAGGAGAUUUGUAAUAAUAUGGUGGAGGAGGAGAGUAGACUGGAGGUGGGGGUGAUUUGUAGUAGUAUGGUGGUGGUGGGGAAGGAGAAGGUGGGGGUGGGGAUUUGUAGUAGUAUGGUGGAGGAGGUGAUGGUGAUGGUGGUGGGGGAGAUUUGUAGUAGUAUGGUGGAGGUGGUGAAGGAGAUGGUGGUGGUGGGGAUUUGUAGUAGUAUGGUGGAGGAGGUGAAGGUGAUGGUGGUGGUGGGGAUUUGUAGUAGUAUGGUGGAGGAGGUGAGGGUGAUGGUGGUGGUGGAGAUUUGUAGUAGUAUGGUGGAGGAGGUGAGGGUGAUGGUGGUGGAGGGGAUUUGUAGUAGUAUGGAGGAGGAGGUGACGGCGAUGGUGGUGGUGGAGAUUUGUAGUAGUAUGGAGGAGGAGGUGAAGGGGAUGGUGGUGGUGGAGAUUUGUAGUAGUAUGGAGGAGGAGGUGACGGGGAUGGUGGUGGUGGAGAUUUGUAGUAGUAUGGUGGAGGAGGUGAGGGUGAUGGUGGUGGUGGAGAUUUGUAGUAAUAUGGAGGAGGAGGUGAAGGAGAAGGUGGUGGUGGAGAUUUGUAGUAAUAUGGAGGAGGAGGUGAUGGGGAUGGUGGUGGAGGAGAUUUGUAGUAGUAUGGUGGAG
This 2814-nucleotide long non-coding RNA is filed under the name Cucumis sativus (cucumber). Its description in RNAcentral is "long non-coding RNA (CSAT_LNC001391)". Lineage: Eukaryota; Viridiplantae; Streptophyta; Magnoliopsida; Cucurbitales; Cucurbitaceae. The record is from RNAcentral.